GGGUUCAUGGCUAGCUCAGUUGGUUAGAGCGUGGCGCUGAUAAUGCCAAGGUUGCAAGUUUGAGCCUCAUAUUAUUCC
This is a non-coding RNA of Podarcis lilfordi (Lilford's wall lizard), 78 nucleotides long. The record is from the annotation of a GenBank genome assembly. Lineage: Eukaryota; Metazoa; Chordata; Lepidosauria; Squamata; Lacertidae.